UGGGGAAUAUUGCGCAAUGGGCGAAAGCCUGACGCAGCCACGCCGCGUGAGUGAUGAAGGCCCGAGGGUCGUAAAGCUCUGUCGGGAGGGAAGAACACAAUGACGGUACCUCCCAAGAAAGCACCGGCUAACUCCGUGCCAGCAGCCGCGGUAAUACGGAGGGUGCAAGCGUUGCUCGGAAUCACUGGGCGUAAAGCGUACGCAGGCGGCUUGCCAAGUCGGAUGUGAAAGCCCGGGGCUCAACCCCGGAACUGCAUUCGAAACUGGCAGACUUGAGUACUGGAGAGGGAAGCGGAAUUCCUGGUGUAGAGGUGAAAUUCGUAGAUAUCAGGAGGAACACCCGUGGCGAA
Molecule: ribosomal RNA, 350 nt
Filed under: uncultured bacterium
Lineage: Bacteria
Description: bacterial SSU rRNA
Rfam family: Bacterial small subunit ribosomal RNA
Source: RNAcentral